Molecule: non-coding RNA, 314 nt
Organism: Candidatus Harrisonbacteria bacterium
Lineage: Bacteria; Candidatus Harrisoniibacteriota
Source: Rfam
GGGGAUGACGGGCCUCGACGGUUAUUCUUCUUAAAUAAUGGCAAGCAGAGCCGGGCUAACUCUUAAAACUGGCCUAAAACUUAAUUGCUAACCAAAAAUUAGCUUUCGCGUACGCUUAACGCUGACGCGCAUCGGCGGUUCAACGCUUCAUAGAGCCAUCACCGGUGUUAUACCCGAAGCUAACUUUGAAAAGCUGCUCUUGUAUUCAAAGUAAAAACUAAAAGGGCAUUCGUGCUGAUUUAUCAGUAACUAAGCUUGUAGAAGUUAUUUUAGAAAAUUUCCGGAUGCCGGUUCAACUCCGACCAUCUCCAUAA